RNAcentral lists this ribosomal RNA (506 nucleotides) under uncultured bacterium. RNAcentral describes it as "partial 16S ribosomal RNA". It matches the Rfam family "Bacterial small subunit ribosomal RNA", at positions 29 to 523 of the family's 1533-position model. The record is from RNAcentral.
AUUGAACGCUGGCGGCAGGCCUAACACAUGCAAGUCGAACGGCAGCGGGGGGUAGCUUGCUACCCCGCCGGCGAGUGGCGGACGGGUGAGUAAUGCCUGGGGAGCUGCCCAAUCGAGGGGGAUACCAGUUGGAAACGACUGCUAAUACCGCAUACGCACUGAGGGGGAAAGGUGGGGAUCUUCGGACCUACCGCGAUUGGAUGCACCCAGGUGGGAUUAGCUAGUUGGUGAGGUAACGGCUCACCAAGGCGACGAUCCCUAGCUGGUCUGAGAGGAUGACCAGCCACACUGGAACUGAGACACGGUCCAGACUCCUACGGGAGGCAGCAGUGGGGAAUAUUGCACAAUGGGGGAAACCCUGAUGCAGCCAUGCCGCGUGUGUGAAGAAGGCCUUCGGGUUGUAAAGCACUUUCAGCGAGGAGGAAAGGUUGGCAGCUAAUACCUGUCAGCUGUGACGUUACUCGCAGAAGAAGCACCGGCUAACUCCGUGCCAGCCGCCGCGGUAA